GGGGAACUGAAACAUCUAAGUACCCCGAGGAAAAGAAAUCAACCGAGAUUCCCCCAGUAGCGGCGAGCGAACGGGGAGGAGCCCAGAGCCUGAAUCAGCAUGUGUGUUAGUGGAAGCGUCUGGAAAGGCGCGCGAUACAGGGUGACAGCCCCGUACACAAAAGCGCAUGUGCUGUGAGCUCGAUGAGUAGGGCGGGACACGUGGUAUCC
This 209-nucleotide ribosomal RNA is filed under the name Salmonella enterica subsp. enterica serovar Cerro. Its description in RNAcentral is "partial 23S ribosomal RNA". It matches the Rfam family "Bacterial large subunit ribosomal RNA", at positions 187 to 434 of the family's 2925-position model. Lineage: Bacteria; Pseudomonadati; Pseudomonadota; Gammaproteobacteria; Enterobacterales; Enterobacteriaceae. The record is from RNAcentral.